CGCGUAGGCGGCCUGCUAAGUCACACGUGAAAUCCCUCGGCUCAACCGGGGAACUGCGUGUGAUACUGGCGGGCUUGAAUUCGGGAGAGGGAUGUGGAAUUCCAGGUGUAGCGGUGAAAUGCGUAGAUAUCUGGAGGAACACCGGUGGCGAAGGCGGCAUCCUGGACCGAGAUUGACGCUGAGGCGCGAAAGCUAGGUAGCAAACG
RNAcentral lists this ribosomal RNA (206 nucleotides) under uncultured bacterium. RNAcentral describes it as "partial 16S ribosomal RNA". It matches the Rfam family "Bacterial small subunit ribosomal RNA", at positions 568 to 774 of the family's 1533-position model. The record is from RNAcentral.